GCGAGGAUGGCGGAACUGGCAGACGCGCCAGAUUCAGGUUCUGGUGGCCGCAAGGCUGUGGGGGUUCAAGUCCCCCUCCUCGCAC
RNAcentral lists this transfer RNA (85 nucleotides) under Deltaproteobacteria bacterium ADurb.Bin207. RNAcentral describes it as "tRNA-Ser". It matches the Rfam family "tRNA". From Rfam's summary of the family: Transfer RNA (tRNA) molecules are approximately 80 nucleotides in length. Their secondary structure includes four short double-helical elements and three loops (D, anti-codon, and T loops). Lineage: Bacteria; Deltaproteobacteria. The record is from RNAcentral.